This 564-nucleotide ribosomal RNA is filed under the name Streptomyces sp. 384C01. RNAcentral's name for it is "bacterial SSU rRNA". It matches the Rfam family "Bacterial small subunit ribosomal RNA", at positions 93 to 671 of the family's 1533-position model. The record is from RNAcentral. Lineage: Bacteria; Bacillati; Actinomycetota; Actinomycetes; Kitasatosporales; Streptomycetaceae.
UAGUGGCGAACGGGUGAGUAACACGUGGGCAAUCUGCCCUUCACUCUGGGACAAGCCCUGGAAACGGGGUCUAAUACCGGAUAACACUGCGGAUCGCAUGGUCUGCGGUUAAAAGCUCCGGCGGUGAAGGAUGAGCCCGCGGCCUAUCAGCUUGUUGGUGAGGUAAUGGCUCACCAAGGCGACGACGGGUAGCCGGCCUGAGAGGGCGACCGGCCACACUGGGACUGAGACACGGCCCAGACUCCUACGGGAGGCAGCAGUGGGGAAUAUUGCACAAUGGGCGAAAGCCUGAUGCAGCGACGCCGCGUGAGGGAUGACGGCCUUCGGGUUGUAAACCUCUUUCAGCAGGGAAGAAGCGAAAGUGACGGUACCUGCAGAAGAAGCGCCGGCUAACUACGUGCCAGCAGCCGCGGUAAUACGUAGGGCGCAAGCGUUGUCCGGAAUUAUUGGGCGUAAAGAGCUCGUAGGCGGCUUGUCACGUCGAUUGUGAAAGCCCGAGGCUUAACCUCGGGUCUGCAGUCGAUACGGGCUAGCUAGAGUNCGGUAGGGGAGAUCGGAAUUCCU